RNAcentral lists this ribosomal RNA (440 nucleotides) under uncultured bacterium. Its description in RNAcentral is "bacterial SSU rRNA". It matches the Rfam family "Bacterial small subunit ribosomal RNA", at positions 339 to 796 of the family's 1533-position model. The record is from RNAcentral.
CUACGGGAGGCAGCAGUGGGGAAUAUUGGACACUGGGGGAAACCCUGAUCCAGCCAUGCCGCGUGAGUGAAGAAGGCCUUAGGGUUGUAAAGCUCUUUCACCCGUGACGAUGAUGACGGUAGCGGGAGAAGAAGCCCCGGCUAAUUCCGUGCCAGCAGCCGCGGUAAUACGGAAGGGGCUAGCGUUGUUCGGAUUUACUGGGCGUAAAGCGCGCGUAGGCGGCGGACCAAGUUAGGCGUGAAAGCCCUGGGCUCAACCCGGGAAUUGCGCUUAAGACUGGUUUGCUUGAGUCCGGGAGAGGGUGGUGGAACUCCCAGUGUAGAGGUGAAAUUCGUAGAUAUUGGGAAGAACACCGGUGGCGAAGGCGGCCACCUGGACCGGUACUGACGCUGAGGUGCGAAAGCGUGGGGAGCAAACAGGAUUAGAUACCCUAGUAGUCC